RNAcentral lists this ribosomal RNA (379 nucleotides) under uncultured bacterium. Its description in RNAcentral is "bacterial SSU rRNA". It matches the Rfam family "Bacterial small subunit ribosomal RNA", at positions 521 to 896 of the family's 1533-position model. The record is from RNAcentral.
UAAUACGUAGGGCGCAAGCGUUGUCCGGAAUUAUUGGGCGUAAAGAGCUCGUAGGCGGUUUGUCGCGUCUGCUGUGAAAACGCGAGGCUUAACCUCGCGCCUGCAGUGGGUACGGGCAGACUAGAGUGCGGUAGGGGAGACUGGAAUUCCUGGUGUAGCGGUGGAAUGCGCAGAUAUCAGGAGGAACACCGGUGGCGAAGGCGGGUCUCUGGGCCGUUACUGACGCUGAGGAGCGAAAGCAUGGGGAGCGAACAGGAUUAGAUACCCUGGUAGUCCAUGCCGUAAACGUUGGGCACUAGGUGUGGGGCCCGUUUCCACGGGGUCCGCGCCGCAGCUAACGCAUUAAGUGCCCCGCCUGGGGAGUACGGCCGCAAGGCUA